RNAcentral lists this ribosomal RNA (503 nucleotides) under uncultured bacterium. RNAcentral describes it as "bacterial SSU rRNA". It matches the Rfam family "Bacterial small subunit ribosomal RNA", at positions 8 to 526 of the family's 1533-position model. The record is from RNAcentral.
AGAGUUUGAUCAUGGCUCAGGAUCAACGCUGGCGGCGUGCCUAAUGCAUGCAAGUCGAACGGGGUGCCUUUCGGGGUACUUACGUGGCGGACGGGUGAGGAACACGUGGGCAAGCUGCCCUGGGGUGGGGGGUAGCCGCCGGAAACGGCGGGUAAUUCCGCAUGUGGUCACGCUUCAGUGGGGAGCGUGAGGAAAGGGUCUUCGGACUCGCCCCGGGAUGCGCCUGCGGCCGAUUAGCUGGUUGGUGGGGUAACGGCCUACCAAGGCGGUGAUCGGUAGCUGGUCUGAGAGGACGGCCAGCCACACGGGGACUGAGACACGGCCCCGACUCCUACGGGAGGCAGCAGCAAGGAAUUUUCCGCAAUGGGCGAAAGCCUGACGGAGCAACGCCGCGUGGGGGAGGACGCCCUUCGGGGUGUAAACCUCUUUUCUUGGGGACGACGCAAAGACGGUACCCGAGGAAGAAGGACCGGCUAACUACGUGCCAGCAGCCGCGGUAAUUC